Molecule: ribosomal RNA, 494 nt
Filed under: uncultured bacterium
Lineage: Bacteria
Description: bacterial SSU rRNA
Rfam family: Bacterial small subunit ribosomal RNA
Source: RNAcentral
AAAGGAAUAGACGGGGACCCGCACAAGCGGUGGAGCAUGUGGUUUAAUUCGAAGCAACGCGAAGAACCUUACCAGGUCUUGACAUCCUCUUGACCGGUCCUUAACCGGACCUUUCCUUCGGGACAAGAGAGACAGGUGGUGCAUGGUUGUCGUCAGCUCGUGUCGUGAGAUGUUGGGUUAAGUCCCGCAACGAGCGCAACCCUUAUCUUUAGUAGCCAGCAUUUCGGAUGGGCACUCUAGAGAGACUGCCCGGGAUAACCGGGAGGAAGGUGGGGAUGACGUCAAAUCAUCAUGCCCCUUAUGAUCUGGGCUACACACGUGCUACAAUGGCGUUCACAAAGAGAAGCAAUAUCGCGAGAUGGAGCAAACCUCAAAAAGGACGUCUCAGUUCGGAUUGUAGUCUGCAACUCGACUACAUGAAGCUGGAAUCGCUAGUAAUCGCGAAUCAGAAUGUCGCGGUGAAUACGUUCCCGGGUCUUGUACACACCGCCCGU